Long non-coding RNA from Fundulus heteroclitus (mummichog), 1137 nucleotides. RefSeq lists it as uncharacterized. The record is from RefSeq and is a predicted model, not a curated record. The transcript is spliced from 3 exons. NCBI's taxonomy places the organism in Eukaryota, Metazoa, Chordata, Actinopteri, Cyprinodontiformes, Fundulidae.
UAAUCUGUUCUACAUUAGAUGGUAAUAGCGGGUGAUCCGUCUUCUCUGGAUGAUCAGGUUUUGAGUGAAAAGAAAGUUGUUGGAGAAAAUAGUGUAUCAUACAGUGUAGUCACUGGCUGUUCCACUCAAGGAAGAUUUGGAAGAACUUAAAAGAAAUAUACAAGGUGGUGAAGUGCGUAGGUUAAACAGAUUGUUAAAAUCUGUGGAUUUGGAAAAAUAGGUAGAGAUAAGGUGUCCUGAUAAGGUAAAGAUCGGCUUCAUGAGUUUUUCUGUUAGGCCUUAUAUCCCUCCUCCUUUGCAUUAAAAAACGCAUUACCUUAUGUAAUUUUUUUAUAAGGAUAAUAAAAGUUCAACAACAUUGGUAAUGCCAGAUAAUGAUGCAAAUGUGUAGACUCCAGUUUACAGUUCAACAGUCAGAUGGCAACACAAAAUAAGCUGUUGCAAAACCUGGUGGACCUGCAGCAGGUGCUGCAAAACCUUUUCCCAGAAGGCAGCAGGGAGAACAUUCCAUGGUGGGGUUGUGAGGGGUCUCUGAUGAUGUUAUGGGCUCAGGACAGGUAGCGCUGGGAUGAAAUGUCUUUAAUGAAGGGUAGGGUACCCCGAUGAUACCUUCUGCUGUCAUCAUCACUCUCCUCAGGUUCCUCAAGUCAGAGGCGAUGCACCAUCCACACCACACAGACAAACAGCUGGUCACAAUGCUCUCUAUGGUGCUGCUGUAGAAGGUCGGGAGGAUGGGCGGGGCCAGGUGGGCUCUCCUCAUCUUCCGCAGUAAGUGCAAGCGCUUUUGUGGCCUCUUCGCCAGUGACAUGGUGCUCACAGACCAGUUGAGGUUGUGUGUUAUGUGCACCCCGAGGAAUUUAUUGCUGCCGACCACCUCAACAGCUGAGCUGUUAAUGAGAAGUGGAGCAUGGCGAGGCCAUUUCUCAUUCAUUCUUCUACAACUUAAAUUUUGAAGUUCACUGUAGCUCAGUCUGAAAAAUUAAACAAAUUAAAAAUGUUUUAAAUGUUUUUAAGACAACUAAAAAUGAGCAACUAGAGAAAUGCUGAAACUAGCAAGUAAAGGCCCUGCGACAGACUGGCAACCUGUCCAGGGUGUACACCGCCUCUCGCCCAUUGAAAUGCUGGAGAUAGGCACCA